This 232-nucleotide ribosomal RNA is filed under the name uncultured bacterium. RNAcentral's name for it is "partial 16S ribosomal RNA". It matches the Rfam family "Bacterial small subunit ribosomal RNA", at positions 100 to 334 of the family's 1533-position model. The record is from RNAcentral.
CGGGACGGGUGAGUAAUGUCUGGAAACUGCCCGAUGGAGGGGGAUAACUACUGGAAACGGUAGCUAAUACCGCAUAACGUCGCAAGACCAAAGAGGGGGACCUUCGGGCCUCUUGCCAUCGGAUGUGCCCAGAUGGGAUUAGCUAGUAGGUGGGGUAACGGCUCACCUAGGCGACGAUCCCUAGCUGGUCUGAGAGGAUGAUCAGCCACACUGGGACUGAGACACGGCCCAG